Molecule: long non-coding RNA, 1005 nt
Organism: Amphiprion ocellaris (clown anemonefish)
Lineage: Eukaryota; Metazoa; Chordata; Actinopteri; Pomacentridae
Source: Ensembl
CUGGCAGCAGGUGUGGUGCAUCGUAAUCAGCAGAUGAGCUGCAGGUGGAGCUGAGUGAUUGGUCUCUGAACGUCUCUAUAAAAGCAGAUGGCACCAGUCACUUGAAGCUGGACCGUCGUCUAAUCUCCACUUAGUGCUGGGAGUAGAACUGUCUUUGCCACCAGCCUAGAAUUGCCAGUAAUUCUGUUUUCUGUGUUUAGAAAGCUGAUUCCUGCCUGCUGAGUUGCCUGGGUUCCUUCGUCCACUGGUUUUCCACCCAACCACGGAUUCUUAAUUGCAAUUGCAAUAACUGAAUUGUAUUUCUCCCUCCCCCCAUUGAAACAAUAAAAAUUUGUUUUUUUCAAAGGAUUUUCAGAUCAUUUGUCAUCUAAUCUCCAGUACCUAAAUCAAUGUUUUCCAUUUCCCUGAGAUUAGCUGCAGUACAUGGUUGCACCACCAGGUGGAGCCUCUUACUAUGAAGGUAGUUGGAGUUCAGGUGUGUUUGCUGACCGCUGUAAGAGCCCUGGAAGCAAACACACCUCCCUGUGUCUAACUGUUCACUGUGCAGCAAUAAGUUGUGAUAACGAUGCCUGGUUUAACGAGCUCCCUUUAAAAUAAUGCUGAUGCUAAAGUAGGUUUGUCAAAUGCUAACAGACUAGUUUGAAUUUAUGGCUGUUAAGCUAAUCCUUGCAGUUUGGAUUUUUUUUUUUUUUUUUUUUUUUUUGAGUUAAACUUCCUUUUGUUUUUCCAAACCUCAAAUGUCCUUCAAAUAUAACAGCUUGUUCACACAACUAACAUUAAGCUGUAGUGGUGAAGAUGUUUGCCAUUCACUCAUCCAGCAGACAUUUUCUUGCUCCAGUAUACUCCUAAAUCCUUCAUCAUGUUGACCAAAUAGUCACUGAUUUGUCUGUUUUUGCUACAACAGCUGGACUGAGGCUGGAAAAGAGUGAAACCAGUUAAGCUUUGGUUCAUAAAACCAAAACAGCUUACUGACAGGUCCUAAAACACUCCAUAGAGCUGUGGUUU